UGUUUAAUAAACACAUUAUCUAUUUUUAUGAGCUACCAGUAGUUUCAUGCAAUGAAAAACAACACAGACAACAUUUUUAACAUGUUUGGUGUCUUUAUGUAGAUUGCUUGAAGGUAGCAGACGUGUUAUAAAACAAUGUAUUGUUUGCAUUGGAUGAAACUAUUGGUAGCUCAUAAAAAUAUUUUCUGUGUUCAUUAAACAAUGUUUACCUCUUACCAUUUUUUAUCUUUUACUUGUUUCAGUCAAUUGACUGUGGCCCUGCUGGAGCACUGCCUUGAAGAGUUUUUAGUCGAACAAAUCAGUUCCAAGACUUUAUUGUCUUUAAACUUAGUACUUAUUCUGUCAGUCACUUUUGUUGAACCACUAAGUUAUGGAGAUGUAAACAAACCAACAUCAGUUUUUAAGCAGCAGUGGGGGACAUGAACACACACACAUGAUGGGAUUCUUUCAGUUUCUGUCUACCAAAUCUACUCACAGUGCUUUGGUUGGCCCAAGGCUAUAGUAGAAGACACUUGCUGAAAGUGCCACACUGUAGAACUGAACCCAGAGCGAUGUGGUUGGGAAGUAAACUUCUUACCACACAGCUACACAUAAUAAUCACUCUCUUCUCUCUUUCUCCCUCUAUCUAUCACUCAUAUAUCAUCAUCAUUUAAUGUCUGUUGUCCAUGCGUUAGUUUGAUUAAAACUGGCAAGCUGGAGAGCUGCGCCAGGCUCCAGUCCGACUUGGCAUGAAUUCUAUGGCUGGAUGCCCUUCCUAACUUCAACCUCUCUGAGAGUUUAAUGGGCCACCAGCACAGGUGUCAUUUGUGUGACACCAGUAUCUUCCAUGACUGUGAUUUUGCUCGGUUUGAUUGGACUUCUCAAGCACGACAUAAUGCCAGAGGUCUCAGCCAUUGCCUCCUUGAGGACCAACACUCGAGAAGAGCUCAGCCACUUUGCCUCUAUGAGGCCCAACACUCAGAAGAUACUUUUUAUAUGCCGCUGGCACAAGUGCCACUUACAUGACACCAGCAUCAGCCAUGACUACGAUUUCACUUGGCUUGACCAAUCUUAUCAAGCACAGCACAUCACAAAAAGUCUUGGUCACUAAUCAUUUCCUCUGUGAGACCCAAAGUUCGAAGAUUAUGCUUCCCCACCUCAUCUCAUGUUUUCCUGGGUCCACCUCUACUACAGGUACCCUCCACAGUUAGAGAUCAGCACUUCUAUACACAGCUGUCCUCGUCCAUAUGCAUCAAAUGACCACACCAACGCAGUUGUCUCUCUUGCACACCACUGAUAGUUCUUAUGCCUAACUUUUCUCUCAAGGUGCUUAAACUCUGUUGAACAUGCACACUGACAUUACACAUCCCACAAAACAUACUGAUUUCAUUUCUGUUUAAGCCUAAACAUGUCCUCAGCUAUCACAGCCCAUGUUUUGCUGCCAUGUAGCAUGGCUGUUUGCACACAAGCAUCAUACAAUCUGCCUUUCACCCUGAGAGAGAGGCCCUUUGUUGCCUGCUGGGGUAGGAGCUCUCUGAACUUUGCCCAGCCUAAUCUUAUUCCCACAUCUAUGCUCUCAGAGCAUCCACCUCUGCUACUAAUUUAGUUACCUAGAUAAUGGAAGCUAUCUUGUACCUCAAGCCUACCCCGCUGGCAGUUGAAGGAGUCUAUUUUCUGUACAUUUUCAGUGUUUAUUGUACCUGUGCAUCUUCCACAUACAAGUGCUAUUUUCCCUGUUAACCUCCCUGAUAUUGUUGCACCUCUUAUGUGUCCACAGCUUACACCAGGUACAUCUUAUGGAGUUUCUACCUAUGCCUUUUCUACAGAUCGAGCAGAGCCAUCUACCUGAAGAGAUUUGUGAUUUGUCCACUUUCUACUUACUAAGACUUCAGUUUUUGCUAAGGUCCUUUGAUCUUAGACCUUGCUUCCAUACUUGAAACUUCUCUAGUUCUGGUAGUGACUCAGCUACAAGAACAAAGUCAUUAGCAUAGAGGAGCUCCCAGGAGCAGCUAUCUUAAAUUCCUGUCAUUGCUUGGAGGACUAUGAUGAACAAGAGGGGGCUGAGGACCAAUCCUUGAUGAACCCCCUACUUGUACCCUGAAUUCUUUGCUGUACUUGUUGCCAACCCUCACCUUACUGACAGCGUCCCUGUACAUGGGUUGUACAGCUCUCACCAACCACUCAUCUAUCCCUAGUUUCUGCAUUGACCACCAGAUAAGGAACCGAGAGACCCCAUCAAAGGCUUUCUCCAAGUCAACAAAAGCCAAGUACAGAGGUUUAUCUUUGGCUAGGUAGUUCUCCUGCAGCUGUCUUACCAGAAAUAUAGCAUCAGUGGUGCUUCUCCCUGGCGCAAAACCAAACUGCAUCUCAUCUAGACUAACUCUCUCCCUAAUUAAAUGGGCUAUAACCCUUUCCGUGACUUUCAUCACCUGAUCCAACAAUCUGAUACCUCUGUAAUUAUUUCUAUCUAAGGCAUUACCUUUAUCUCUGUACCAGUUGACUAUGGGACUGCUACACCAGUCAUUGAAUAAGACUCCCUUGUGUACAAUCUGAUUUACAAUAUGAGUGACUAGACCAUGAUUCACUCCGGCAGAUAUUUCAAGCAUCUCAGCAGUGAUUCCUGAUGGGCCGAUGCUUUCAUAUAUAUCAUAUAUACAUGAUAGAUCGCUAGCCACUACACAUUUUUUAUUUUCUUUCCUUGUUUCUUUCUGUGGAAGAGCGUAGGCUUGAAACGUUAAAGACUUUUCCACUUCCUGAGCAUUAAACUAAUACAUCUGUUUGUUGUCUACAC
RNAcentral lists this long non-coding RNA (2770 nucleotides) under Octopus vulgaris (common octopus). The record is from RNAcentral. Lineage: Eukaryota; Metazoa; Mollusca; Cephalopoda; Octopoda; Octopodidae.